This 1022-nucleotide small RNA is filed under the name Pongo abelii (Sumatran orangutan). Its description in RNAcentral is "processed transcript". Lineage: Eukaryota; Metazoa; Chordata; Mammalia; Primates; Hominidae. The record is from RNAcentral.
UGAGACUUGAAGAGGAAACUGGCGAGAAAUUGAACCCUUCAUUUCUUGACUUGGUCAGAACUCCUCAGAUACGGAAACAUACUAUGAUAUUGAUGUACAACUGGUUCACGAGCUCUGUGCUCUACCAGGGCCUCAUCAUGCACAUGGGCCUUGCAGGGGACAAUAUCUACCUGGAUUUCUUCUACUCUGCCCUGGUUGAAUUCCCAGCUGCCUUCAUGAUCAUCCUCACCAUCGACCGCAUCGGCCGCCGUUACCCUUGGGCUGCAUCAAAUAUGGUUGCAGGGGCAGCCUGUCUGGCCUCAGUUUUUAUCCCUGGUGAUCUACAAUGGCUAAAAAUUAUUAUCUCAUGCUUGGGAAGAAUGGGGAUCACAAUGGCCUAUGAGAUAGUGUGCCUGGUCAAUGCUGAGCUGUACCCCACAUUCAUUAGGAAUCUUGGCGUCCACAUCUGUUCCUCAAUGUGUGACAUUGGUGGCAUCAUCACGCCAUUCCUGGUCUACCGGCUCACUAACAUCUGGCUUGAGCUCCCGCUAAUGGUUUUUGGCGUGCUUGGCUUGGUUGCUGGAGGUCUGGUGCUGUUGCUUCCAGAAACUAAAGGGAAGGCUUUGCCUGAGACCAUCGAGGAAGCCGAAAAUAUGCAAAGACUGCUCAUCCAUUCUCCUGUCUUCAGUAUCCAUCAAAUGCUGAUGUUUCUCCCUCCCCAGACGUGAGCUCAAGCCGCAAAGCCAUCUCCCACCACCCAUUGGACAUCUUUGCUCAAAUUCAACAUGUCCUGGACAAGAUUUGUCAUUUCUUCCUUCCCAGCUUUUGCCAACUGGAACUGCUUAACUCUGCUCUUUUAUUCUUAUCCACAAGGCCUGAUCCUUUCUAAAGAUUUACUAAUAUAUCAUUUUCUUAUUUUUCUUUGGUCUGUUUUCCCCCACUAGAAAGUAACUUCUCUGAGGGCAGAGGUUUUUUGGUUUUGCUUUUGUUUUUAAUUUACUGUUGAAUCCUCAUUAUCUAAGACAGUGCCUGGCACAUAACAG